AACAUCUUAGUACCCGGAGGAAGAGAAAGAAAAUUCGAUUCCCUUAGUAGCGGCGAGCGAAACGGGAAGAGCCCAAACCAACAAGCUUGCUUGUUGGGGUUGUAGGACACUCUAUACGGAGUUACAAAGGACGACAUUAGACGAAUCAUCUGGAAAGAUGAAUCAAAGAAGGUAAUAAUCCUGUAGUCGAAAAUGUUGUCUCUCUUGAGUGGAUCCUGAGUACGACGGAGCACGUGAAAUUCCGUCGGAAUCUGGGAGGACCAUCUCCUAAGGCUAAAUACUCUCUAGUGACCGAUAGUGAACCAGUACCGUGAGGGAAAGGUGAAAAGCACCCCGGAAGGGGAGUGAAAUAGAACCUGAAACCGUGUGCUUACAAGUAGUCAGAGCCCGUUAAUGGGUGAUGGCGUGCCUUUUGUAGAAUGAACCGGCGAGUUACGAUUUGAUGCAAGGUUAAGCAGUAAAUGUGGAGCCGUAGCGAAAGCGAGUCUGAAUAGGGCGUUUAGUAUUUGGUCGUAGACCCGAAACCAGGUGAUCUACCCUUGGUCAGGUUGAAGUUCAGGUAACACUGAAUGGAGGACCGAACCGACUUACGUUGAAAAGUGAGCGGAUGAACUGAGGGUAGCGGAGAAAUUCCAAUCGAACCUGGAGAUAGCUGGUUCUCUCCGAAAUAGCUUUAGGGCUAGCCUCAAGUGAUGAUUAUUGGAGGUAGAGCACUGUUUGGACGAGGGGCCCCUCUCGGGUUACCGAAUUCAGACAAACUCCGAAUGCCAAUUAAUUUAACUUGGGAGUCAGAACAUGGGUGAUAAGGUCCGUGUUCGAAAGGGAAACAGCCCAGACCACCAGCUAAGGUCCCAAAAUAUAUGUUAAGUGGAAAAGGAUGUGGCGUUGCCCAGACAACUAGGAUGUUGGCUUAGAAGCAGCCAUCAUUUAAAGAGUGCGUAAUAGCUCACUAGUCGAGUGACACUGCGCCGA
RNAcentral lists this ribosomal RNA (972 nucleotides) under Staphylococcus aureus. RNAcentral describes it as "partial 23S ribosomal RNA". It matches the Rfam family "Bacterial large subunit ribosomal RNA", at positions 197 to 1167 of the family's 2925-position model. The record is from RNAcentral. Lineage: Bacteria; Bacillati; Bacillota; Bacilli; Caryophanales; Staphylococcaceae.